Molecule: ribosomal RNA, 287 nt
Filed under: Candidatus Peribacteria bacterium RIFCSPHIGHO2_02_FULL_55_24
Lineage: Bacteria; Candidatus Peregrinibacteriota; Candidatus Peribacteria
Description: partial 16S ribosomal RNA
Rfam family: Bacterial small subunit ribosomal RNA
Source: RNAcentral
GCCGGCACAAAGGGCAGCUAACCCGCGAGGGCAAGCCAAUCCCAAAAAACCGGUCUCAGUUCGGAUUGUAGUCUGCAACUCGACUGCAUGAAGUUGGAAUCGCUAGUAACCGUGAAUCAGCCACGUCACGGUGAAUAUGUUCCUGGGUCUUGUACUCACCGCCCGUCAACUCAUGGAAGGCAGGAAUGCCCGAAGCGCCUUUACCCGCAAGGGGAGGCAUCACGGCAGAUCUGCUGACUGGGAGUAAGUCGUAACAAGGUAUCCGUAGGAGAACCUGCGGAUGGAAC